CUCUUCCCGAGAUGGGACCCCCAAACACACCCCCGGGGGCUCUCUCCACACCCCAAGAGUCCUAUCUGUGCCUCCCGAGUGCAAGUUCACCCAAGUGGUGAGUUUUUACGGACUCCCUUCCUCGCUUGAAAGAGACCUUCUUUGGCUACCCGCCCCCUGUCCGGUGGCUCCGACGUGGCUACUUUGCAGGAUGGGCUGUAUAAAGGGCUAGAGGCAGAUCUACCCAAACCAGAGACGUGGCGUCUGCUAGACCGGCCUAGGCUCCAGCUCUUCCAGGACCAUAGAUUCAAAAGGAGGUGGAUAGAAGCUCAAAUUGCCACGAUCUUGUUGUGUCUGUCACCUUUCAAAUGAAAGAAUUAAGUGAAACCAUGUCAACCUGUGAGGGUGCUGUGUCUAGAAGUGUGGAGCGUGGUAGUACCUGACUAAAGCCCAGAGAAGGGAGCAAGAAGGAGCUGAAGAAAGUGUGGCCCCCAGGAGCCAUGAAGACCACGGUUCGCUUUCCUGGGAAGGUUCCCUAACCCUGGACUAUAAGAUGUAGCAAGACUUAUAUUCAGUGAUUAAAAAAUGAAAGAAAGAAAAGAAA
This 583-nucleotide long non-coding RNA is filed under the name Rattus norvegicus (Norway rat). RNAcentral describes it as "uncharacterized LOC100909539". Lineage: Eukaryota; Metazoa; Chordata; Mammalia; Rodentia; Muridae. The record is from RNAcentral.